RNAcentral lists this ribosomal RNA (253 nucleotides) under uncultured bacterium. Its description in RNAcentral is "partial 16S ribosomal RNA". It matches the Rfam family "Bacterial small subunit ribosomal RNA", at positions 524 to 776 of the family's 1533-position model. The record is from RNAcentral.
UACGGAGGAUCCGAGCGUUAUCCGGAUUUAUUGGGUUUAAAGGGAGCGUAGGCGGGCGCUUAAGUCAGCUGUGAAAGUUUGGGGCUCAACCUUAAAAUUGCAGUUGAUACUGGGUGCCUUGAGUGCAGUAUAGGCAGGCGGAAUUCGUGGUGUAGCGGUGAAAUGCUUAGAUAUCACGAAGAACUCCUAUUGCGAAGGCAGCUUGCUGGAGUGUAACUGACGCUGAUGCUCGAAAGUGUGGGUAUCAAACAGG